GCGCCUCGUCACGGCACACACCAGGUGCCUUCUAAGCACUUGGCCGCAGGUUCGAGUCCUGCCGGGGGCA
Molecule: transfer RNA, 70 nt
Filed under: Streptomyces sp. ISL-66
Lineage: Bacteria; Bacillati; Actinomycetota; Actinomycetes; Kitasatosporales; Streptomycetaceae
Also listed under: 1 other name
Description: tRNA-OTHER
Source: RNAcentral